AGGAAUUGGCGGGGGAGCACCACAAGGGGUGAAGCCUGCGGUUCAAUUGGAGUCAACGCCGGAAAUCUUACCGGGGGCGACAGCAGUGUGAAGGUCAAGCUGAAGACUUUACUCGACAAGCUGAGAGGAGGUGCAUGGCCGUCGCCAGCUCGUGCCGUGAGGUGUCCUGUUAAGUCAGGUAACGAGCGAGAUCCCUGCUUUUAGUUGCUACCACUACUCUCAGGAGGAGUGGGGCUAAUUAAAAGGACUGCCGCCGCUAAGGCGGAGGAAGGAGGGGGCUACGGCAGGUCAGUAUGCCCCGAAACCCUCGGGCCACACGCGGGCUGCAAUGGUAAGUACAAUGGGUUCCGAUUCCGAAAGGAGGAGGCAAUCCCUAAACCUUACCUCAGUUAUGAUUGAGGGCUGAAACUCGCCCUCAUGAAUAUGGAAUCCCUAGUAACCGCGUGUCAUUAUCGCGCGGUGAAUACGUCCCUGCUCCUUGCACACACCGCCCGUC
RNAcentral lists this ribosomal RNA (496 nucleotides) under uncultured crenarchaeote. RNAcentral's name for it is "bacterial SSU rRNA". It matches the Rfam family "Archaeal small subunit ribosomal RNA", at positions 860 to 1354 of the family's 1478-position model. The record is from RNAcentral. Lineage: Archaea; Thermoproteati; Thermoproteota.